UCCUUACGGGAGGCAGCAGUAGGGAAUCUUCCGCAAUGGACGAAAGUCUGACGGAGCAACGCCGCGUGAGUGAUGAAGGCUUUCGGGUCGUAAAACUCUGUUGUUAGGGAAGAACAAGUGCUAGUUGAAUAAGCUGGCACCUUGACGGUACCUAACCAGAAAGCCACGGCUAACUACGUGCCAGCAGCCGCGGUAAUACGUAGGUGGCAAGCGUUAUCCGGAAUUAUUGGGCGUAAAGCGCGCGCAGGUGGUUUCUUAAGUCUGAUGUGAAAGCCCACGGCUCAACCGUGGAGGGUCAUCGGAAACUGGGAGACUUGAGUGCAGAAGAGGAAAGUGGAAUUCCAUGUGUAGCGGUGAAAUGCGUAGAGAUAUGGAGGAACACCAGUGGCGAAGGCGACUUUCUGGUCUGUAACUGACACUGAGGCGCGAAAGCGUGGGGAGCAAACAGGAUUAGAUACCCUGGUAGUCCACGCCGUAAACGAUGAGUGCUAAGUGUUAGAGGGUUUCCGCCCUUUAGUGCUGAAGUUAACGCAUUAAGCACUCCGCCUGGGGAGUACGGCCGCAAGGCUGAAACUCAAAGGAA
RNAcentral lists this ribosomal RNA (583 nucleotides) under uncultured bacterium. RNAcentral describes it as "bacterial SSU rRNA". It matches the Rfam family "Bacterial small subunit ribosomal RNA", at positions 337 to 909 of the family's 1533-position model. The record is from RNAcentral.